AACCUACGGGAGGCAGCAGUGGGGAAUAUUGGGCAAUGGGCGCAAGCCUGACCCAGCAAUGCCGCGUGAAGGAAGAAGGCCCUCGGGUUGUAAACUUCUUUUAUCAGGGACGAAGGAUGUGACGGUACCUGAUGAAUAAGCUCCGGCUAACUACGUGCCAGCAGCCGCGGUAAUACGUAGGGAGCAAGCGUUGUCCGGAAUUACUGGGUGCAAAGGGAGCGUAGGCGGGAUGGCAAGUUGGGUGUUAAAUCUACCGGCUCAACUGGUAGUCGCACUCAAAACUGCUAUUCUUGAGUGAAGUAGAG
RNAcentral lists this ribosomal RNA (305 nucleotides) under uncultured bacterium. RNAcentral's name for it is "bacterial SSU rRNA". It matches the Rfam family "Bacterial small subunit ribosomal RNA", at positions 335 to 656 of the family's 1533-position model. The record is from RNAcentral.